UGGGUUUUUUUUUUUUGUGUUGCUAGGUUGUUUAUUGAGUUCCACAAUCCAUGUAGAGAAUAACUUUGUUGUAAUAUUUUUUUUAUGUGAAACCUGAAGCACAUGUUACUUGUUUUCAAAAUGGUGUAAAAUUGCUUAAUAAUAAUUUGCAAGUUUAUUUGAUAUGUGAGAAUAACAUAGGUUACAUUGUAUAUUAUAUACAUGUAUGGGGUGAAUUCUGUUUGUAAUCAUGAAAAAGUGUGUAAUAUACACAUUGUAUGUAUGUAUAAGAGAAUCAUGUUGUAUAUUUUCCCAUUGUUUGAUAGUGCUUUUAAAUCAUGUAUGAUACUAUGUCAUUAUCAUCUUACUUGAAACUAAUCAUGUUGUCAUGUAAAACUUUGUUCUACAGCAGGAUAAAACAGUUUCAACAUAAAAAUUUUACAAGGUCAUAUAUUUCUGUUUUAGGACUUACCUUGUUUAAUUACUAUAUUUAAGAGUAAACAAAUAUACAAAUAUACAUUUAAGGUUC
This is a long non-coding RNA of Mytilus trossulus (common blue mussel), 508 nucleotides long. RefSeq lists it as uncharacterized. The transcript has 2 exons. The record is from RefSeq and is a predicted model, not a curated record. Lineage: Eukaryota; Metazoa; Mollusca; Bivalvia; Mytilida; Mytilidae.